Scatophagus argus is the source of this 1016-nucleotide long non-coding RNA. RefSeq lists it as uncharacterized. The transcript has 4 exons. The record is from RefSeq and is a predicted model, not a curated record. Lineage: Eukaryota; Metazoa; Chordata; Actinopteri; Scatophagidae.
GAGGAUGAAGACUCACCAAAAGCAUCAGGACAGAACUUCACCAUCACUGACUUCAGAGCUGAACACAGUGGGAAUUAUUACUGUGAAGCCCAGAACAUAAGAGGAAGUCAUAGGAACACCUUACAUCUGACUGUUGUGGCAGGAACUUCAUCAGUAAUAACGAACAUCAUCAGGUCGACUCUGGUGGUCUUCAUGUUGAUCCUUCUUCUUCUUCUCCUGAGUCUGUGGAUGAGGAAGAAGAAAACUCUGAGCUCCACCACUGAAGCACAUGAACCUGUAGAGACGAUAGAGCUGCAGGUGAACCAGAGGCGGGACUCACCUGAUGGAAACAAAGCAGGACGACACUGAAGUAUCAGAGUGGAGAGCGAGGCUGUGGAGGAGGUGGACACAUUUACCUUCACCUCCAACAGUUUUCAUGUUCAGGUUUCAGCAGCAGCAGCAGCAGCACAGACAGUCAGUAACAGUCAGUAACAGCAUGUGGCAGAAAGUUCAGAAGAAUGUGGCAGCUUGAACUGAAUCCUGUCCAGGUGUCAAACAUGAUUUAUUGAUCAGAUCAGCUGAUGAUCAGGUGGUGUGUGACUGACUGACUUAUAACUUCCUGCUUAAAGCAUGUAAGCUUAUUUUUGCCUGUAGAGUUUGUCAUAUCAGAGAAAUUUUGACUGUAGAUGUCAUGAGAAAUGUUCACUUGAAAUGAAAAAACAUAAUAAAUAAGUUUAGAAAAACCCUGAUGAGCCUGUGGGUUUGCACCCGUCCUGGCUGACAAAGCCAAUAACGUCUGUUCAAACACUGACAGAUAUAAAGAUGGACGACGCGUUUUAACUUCCUCCCACUGCAGAAAAGUCAAAUCUGCUGGAUACGAGUGCUGCCAUCUUGUGCUGAUGGGGUCAUCCACAGUCUGCGACUGCGCAGUCGUGAUCGGGUGGCGGAGCCGCUGGUUGGAGUUCCCGUCCAUCCACCCGCCUGAAUGAAUUUCAAGCAGCACUCAGCUGUCAGUCGUGACGUUUCACCUCCUUUUU